GGCGGUGCAAAUCCGCCGCGGUCGCGCCACUGUCAGCGCCGCGCCUUACCCCCAAGGGAAAGGCGCGCGCGAGCCAGA
Molecule: unclassified non-coding RNA, 78 nt
Filed under: Methylocella tundrae
Lineage: Bacteria; Pseudomonadati; Pseudomonadota; Alphaproteobacteria; Hyphomicrobiales; Beijerinckiaceae
Source: RNAcentral